UAGAGUUUGAUCCUGGCUCAGGAUAACGCUGGCGGCGCACAUAAGACAUGCAAGUCGAACGGAAGUCGUUAUAUUGAUUCUGAUUUGGAUUUGAAGAUUCGUCAGAUAUGAAGAAGAUGAAGAUUUAUAACAAUGGCUUUAGUGGCGGACUGGUGAGUAACGCGUAAGCAAUCUGCCUAUUAGAGGGGAAUAACAGUGAGAAAUCAUUGCUAAUACCGCAUAUGCCAUAAACAUCGCAUGAUGAUAGUGGGAAAGGAGUAAUCCGCUAAUAGAUGAGCUUGCGUCUGAUCAGUUAGUUGGUGGGGUAACGGCCUACCAAGACUACGAUCAGUAGCCGGACUGAGAGGUUGAACGGCCACAUUGGGACUGAGAUACGGCCCAGACUCCUACGGGAGGCAGCAGUCGGGAAUAUUGCGCAAUGGAGGAAACUCUGACGCAGUGACGCCCCGUAUAGGAAGAAAGUUUUCGGAUUGUAAACUAUUGUCGUUAGGGAGAUACAGACAGUACCUAAAGAGAGCUCCGGCUAACUACUGCCAGCAGCCGCGGUAAUACGUAGGAGCAGCGUUAUCCGGAUUUAUUGGUGUAAGGGUGCGUAGACGGCAAGCAAGUAGUUGUGAAUCCCUC
This 624-nucleotide ribosomal RNA is filed under the name uncultured rumen bacterium. Its description in RNAcentral is "bacterial SSU rRNA". It matches the Rfam family "Bacterial small subunit ribosomal RNA", at positions 1 to 604 of the family's 1533-position model. The record is from RNAcentral.